RNAcentral lists this ribosomal RNA (685 nucleotides) under Hevea brasiliensis (rubber tree). Its description in RNAcentral is "eukaryotic LSU rRNA". The stretch from base 260 to 415 matches the Rfam family "5.8S ribosomal RNA". Lineage: Eukaryota; Viridiplantae; Streptophyta; Magnoliopsida; Malpighiales; Euphorbiaceae. The record is from RNAcentral.
UGUUUCCGUAGGUGAACCUGCGGAAGGAUCAUUGUCGAAACCUGCUCCGCAGAACGACCCGCGAAUGUGUCCACAAACACGUGGACCGCGGGGGCCUUCGGUCCCCCGUCGCACCGAAAGGUCGGGGAAGCAGGCUGGGCCUCGCCCCGCCGGCUCUCCGCGGCCCUAACAACCCCGGCGCGAGAAACGCCAAGGAACAUGAAACAAAAAAGAGCGCGCUCCCGUUAGGGACGCGUAGUCCUCUUUCGAGAACCAAAACGACUCUCGGCAAUGGAUAUCUCGGCUCUCGCAUCGAUGAAGAACGAAGCAAAAUGCGAUACUUGGUGUGAAUUGCAGAAUCCCGCAAACCAUCGAGUCUUUGAACGCAAGUUGCGCCCGAAGCCAUCCGGCCGAGGGCACGUCUACCUGGGUGUCACGCAACCGUCGCCCCAACCCCUCACCCCGUGCGGUGGUGUAGGGGGCGGAUCCUGGCCUCCCGUGCGCUCCUCGCUCGCGGUUGGCCCAAAAGCCGAGUCCUCAGCGAUGAUCGCCACGGCUAUCGGUGGUUGAAAGACCCUCGGACAGAGCCGCGCGCGGCCAUCGGCCACCGGGACCCCGAGACCCCUGCGCGUCCCCUAGGGAACGCCUCCGACCGCGACCCCAGGUCAGGCGGGAACAACCGCUGAAUUUAAGCAUAUUAAUAAGC